AGAUUGAACGCUGGCGGCAGGCCUAACACAUGCAAGUCGAGCGGCAGCACGGGUACUUGUACCUGGUGGCGAGCGGCGGACGGGUGAGUAAUGCCUAGGAAUCUGCCUGGUAGUGGGGGAUAACGGCUCGGAAACGGACGCUAAUACCGCAUACGUCCUACGGGAGAAAGCAGGGGACCUUCGGGCCUUGCGCUAUCAGAUGAGCCUAGGUCGGAUUAGCUAGUUGGUGAGGUAAUGGCUCACCAAGGCGACGAUCCGUAACUGGUCUGAGAGGAUGAUCAGUCACACUGGAACUGAGACACGGUCCAGACCUCCUACGGGAGGCAGCGAGGUAGGGGAAUAGUUAGGACAAGUGGGACGAAAGCCUAGGACUCCGAGCCAGUCGACCGCGUGGUGGUGAAGAACGGUCUUACGGA
Molecule: ribosomal RNA, 416 nt
Filed under: uncultured soil bacterium
Lineage: Bacteria
Description: bacterial SSU rRNA
Rfam family: Bacterial small subunit ribosomal RNA
Source: RNAcentral